CGCGUAGGCGGAUAGAUAAGUCAGAGGUGAAAGCCUCCCGCUCAACGGGAGAACUGCCUUUGAUACUGUUUAUCUUGAAUGAGGUUGAGGUUAGCGGAAUGUGACAUGUAGCGGUGAAAUGCAUAGAUAUGUCAUAGAACACCAAUUGCGUAGGCAGCUAGCUAGGCCUUUAUUGACGCUGAGGCACGAAAGCAUGGGGAGCGAACAGGAUUAGAUACCCUGGUAGUCC
RNAcentral lists this ribosomal RNA (229 nucleotides) under uncultured bacterium. RNAcentral's name for it is "partial 16S ribosomal RNA". It matches the Rfam family "Bacterial small subunit ribosomal RNA", at positions 568 to 796 of the family's 1533-position model. The record is from RNAcentral.